UGCCGGCGACCGGCGGACGGGUGCGUAACGCGUAUGUAACCUACCUUUGACAGGGGGAUAACAUCGAGAAAUUGGUACUAAUACCCCAUAACAUCACCGGAGGCAUCUUCGGUGGUUGAAAACUCAGGUGGUCAGAGAUGGACAUGCGUUGUAUUAGCUAGUUGGUGAGGUAACGGCUCACCGAGGCGACGAUACAUAGGGGGACUGAGAGGUCAACCCCCCACAUUGGUACUGAGACACGGACCAAACUCCUACGGAAGGCAGCAG
This 267-nucleotide ribosomal RNA is filed under the name uncultured bacterium. RNAcentral's name for it is "partial 16S ribosomal RNA". It matches the Rfam family "Bacterial small subunit ribosomal RNA", at positions 86 to 354 of the family's 1533-position model. The record is from RNAcentral.